AGUCGGACGAACUUAAUCGUUAGUUUACUAAUGAAGCGGUUAGUGGCGGACUGGUGAGUAACACGUAAGCAACCUGCCUAUUAGAGGGGAACAACAGUUAGAAAUGACUGCUAAUACCGCAUAUGCCAUAAGUAUCGCAUGAUACAAGUGGGAAAGGAGCAAUCCGCUAAUAGAUGGGCUUGCGUCUGAUUAGAUAGUUGGUGGGGUAACGGCCUACCAAGUCGACGAUCAGUAGCCGAGUUGAGAGACUCUACGGCCACAUUGGGACUGAGAUACGGCCCAGACUCCUACGGGAGGCAGCAGUCGGGAAUAUUGCGCAAUGGAGGAAACUCUGACGCAGUGACGCCGCGUGCAGGAAGAAGGUUUUCGGAUUGUAAACUGCUUUAGACAGGGAAGAAAAAGACAGUACCUGUAGAAUAAGCUCCGGCUAACUACGUGCCAGCAGCCGCGGUAAUACGUAGGGAGCAAGCGUUAUCCGGAUUUAUUGGGUGUAAAGGGUGCGUAGACGGGAAAAUAAGUUAGUUGUGGAAUCCCCAUGCUUAACAUGGGAACUGCAACUAAAACUGUUUUUCUUGAGUGCUGGAGAGGAAAGUGGAAUUCCUAGUGUAGCGGUGAAAUGCGUAGAUAUUAGGAGGAACACCAGUGGCGAAGGCGACUUUCUGGACAGUAACUGACGUUGAGGCACGAAAGUGUGGGGAGCAAACAGGAUUAGAUACCCUGGUAGUCCACACCGUAAACGAUGGAUACUAGGUGUAGGGUGUGAUAA
This 766-nucleotide ribosomal RNA is filed under the name uncultured bacterium. Its description in RNAcentral is "bacterial SSU rRNA". It matches the Rfam family "Bacterial small subunit ribosomal RNA", at positions 60 to 835 of the family's 1533-position model. The record is from RNAcentral.